Molecule: long non-coding RNA, 723 nt
Organism: Molossus molossus (Pallas's mastiff bat)
Lineage: Eukaryota; Metazoa; Chordata; Mammalia; Chiroptera; Molossidae
Exons: 6
Source: RefSeq, a predicted model, not a curated record
CCCACGGUCGCGCGCGUUCUCUUGGCGGACCCCUCAGCACAGGUGCGCCAGGCCUAAGGCCCGGUAGUAGCCUCACCCCGAGGAGGGUGCCUCGGUGGCUGGAAAGCCAUGGCUCAUUCCCAAACCGAAGUACCUCUCAUUCCGGGAAAAGAAGAAUUUACCUCGUUUAUCCAGAAGGAUAUUCUCCAUCUGAAAAAAAUCACAGCACCAGGACCAGCUCAGCAGCAAAGAGACGGAUGGAAGCCUCAGCAAAGCAGCCAACAGUGGACCACAGGGAGUACAGCGGGGACCGAACCCAGAACUCUCUGGUCCACAGGCCGGCUCUCCAACUGCUGAGCCAAACCGGACAGGGCAUCACCUAAAACUUAAAGACACAGCAAGAAGGCAGCCAGGAAGAGACCUCACCAGAACCAGAACCUGACCAUGCUGGCACCCUGAUCUUGGACUUCUCAGCCCCCAGAAUUAAGGGAGUCAGUGCAUCUUCCAUCCCACCCAUCCCCCAGCCAAACCAACGGCUUUCCUCAACUCACAGCGGAAGUCGUGGUAGAAUUUGAGUGGGGGCAUGUUCCUCUCUACUGCCACAUUACCCCACGGUAGCCCCAAGUGCAGGAUUUGACGCCGACGGGAGCAAGGCUGACCACUCUGUUCGGUGCCCACAAGUCGACCUAUCAGCCGCCAGUCACGGAUCUCAAACAGGUAACGGGGAUAGUCUCUUAUCCGAAC